This 685-nucleotide ribosomal RNA is filed under the name uncultured bacterium. RNAcentral's name for it is "bacterial SSU rRNA". It matches the Rfam family "Bacterial small subunit ribosomal RNA", at positions 56 to 736 of the family's 1533-position model. The record is from RNAcentral.
UGCAGUCGAGGGGCAGCAUGACCUAGCAAUAGGUUGAUGGCGACCGGCGCACGGGUGAGUAACACGUAUCCAACCUACCGGUUAUUCCGGGAUAGCCUUUCGAAAGAAAGAUUAAUACCGGAUAGUAUAACGAGAAGGCAUCUUUUUGUUAUUAAAGAAUUUCGAUAACCGAUGGGGAUGCGUUCCAUUAGUUUGUUGGCGGGGUAACGGCCCACCAAGACAUCGAUGGAUAGGGGUUCUGAGAGGAAGGUCCCCCACAUUGGAACUGAGACACGGUCCAAACUCCUACGGGAGGCAGCAGUGAGGAAUAUUGGUCAAUGGACGAGAGUCUGAACCAGCCAAGUAGCGUGAAGGAUGACUGCCCUAUGGGUUGUAAACUUCUUUUAUAUGGGAAUAAAGUGAGCCACGUGUGGCUUUUUGUAUGUACCAUACGAAUAAGGAUCGGCUAACUCCGUGCCAGCAGCCGCGGUAAUACGGAGGAUCCGAGCGUUAUCCGGAUUUAUUGGGUUUAAAGGGAGCGUAGGCGGACUAUUAAGUCAGCUGUGAAAGUUUGCGGCUCAACCGUAAAAUUGCAGUUGAUACUGGUCGUCUUGAGUGCAGUAGAGGUAGGCGGAAUUCGUGGUGUAGCGGUGAAAUGCUUAGAUAUCACGAAGAACUCCGAUUGCGAAGGCAGCUUACUGGACUG